RNAcentral lists this ribosomal RNA (200 nucleotides) under uncultured bacterium. Its description in RNAcentral is "partial 16S ribosomal RNA". It matches the Rfam family "Bacterial small subunit ribosomal RNA", at positions 30 to 230 of the family's 1533-position model. The record is from RNAcentral.
AUUGAACGCUGGCGGCAUGCUUUACACAUGCAAGUCGAACGGCAGCACGGACUUCGGUCUGGUGGCGAGUGGCGAACGGGUGAGUAAUGCAUCGGAAUGUACCGUGUAAUGGGGGAUAACUAGCCGAAAGGAUAGCUAAUACCGCAUACGCCCCGAGGGGGAAAGCAGGGGAUCUUCGGACCUUGCGUUAUACGAGCAGC